CAUGUCAAAACGAUAGAGCUCAUUUCAAAAUAUUAAAUUUACCCUGCGAUGGACAGCCAGCACUGAGGGGGAGGGACAUCCGUCUUGACGUUUAAUUGGAAUGAUGGGAUGGGCCGUAGUCCAGCAUAUUCAGCCUAGUGUCAGUGUUAGUGAGAACUAUGAUCGUGUACGCAGCGCGUGUUAUUUGUGAAUUUGCGAUCUGUGUUAGAUGUCCUGCUACUAAAAAGUAUUUCCAGGUUCUGCCGAUCCUGAUGACGCGUUAAAUGGGAUUCCCCAGGGACCGUCCGUAGUCCUUGAGGGACCAUGGGCGUCCUUCUGCCCCCGCAGUGUGACGACACUGCUUUUUACGCCGAAAAGCAGGAAUCGCCAGUAAAAGGAUGUGGAAUGGAGUAUGCAGAUGAAGAGGAAAUAUAGAAGAAAAUAAAACAUAACGGUCGCGUCGGUUCGUGGUUCUGGGGCUGUUCUAAGGCUUUUCACAGCAUUUUAAGGUCACACUUUUUAU
Sitophilus oryzae (rice weevil) is the source of this 502-nucleotide long non-coding RNA. RefSeq lists it as uncharacterized. NCBI's taxonomy places the organism in Eukaryota, Metazoa, Arthropoda, Insecta, Coleoptera, Curculionidae. The transcript is spliced from 3 exons. The record is from RefSeq and is a predicted model, not a curated record.